Molecule: transfer RNA, 69 nt
Filed under: Marmota monax (woodchuck)
Lineage: Eukaryota; Metazoa; Chordata; Mammalia; Rodentia; Sciuridae
Description: tRNA.Ala
Rfam family: tRNA (bases 7-64)
About the family: Transfer RNA (tRNA) molecules are approximately 80 nucleotides in length.
Source: RNAcentral
GGAAUAUAGCUCAGUUGGUAGAGUGCUUGCCUUGCAUGCACAAGGCCCUGGGUUCAAUCCCCAGCACCA